UGGCUCAGAUUGAACGCUGGCGGUAUGCUUAACACAUGCAAGUCGAACGGUAGAUACUUCGGUAUGUCAAGUGGCGGACGGGUGAGUAACGCGUAGGAAUCUGCCUAGUAGUGGGGGACAACUUGGGGAAACUCAAGCUAAUACCGCAUACGCCCUACGGGGGAAAGCGGGGGUUCUUGAAAGCUCUUGCUAUUGGAUGAGCCUGCAUGAGAUUAGCUAGUUGGUAGGGUAAAGGCCUACCAAGGCGACGAUCUCUAGCUGGUCUGAGAGGACGAUCAGCCACACUGGGACUGAGACACGGCCCAGACUCCUACGGGAGGCAGCAGUGGGGAAUAUUGGACAAUGGGCGCAAGCCUGAUCCAGCAAUACCGCGUGUGUGAAGAAGGCCUUAGGGUUGUAAAGCACUUUCUGCAGUUAAGAAAUCUUAAGGUUAAUAGCCUUGAGUCUUGACGUUAACUACACAAGAAGCACCGGCUAACUCCGUGCCAGCAGCCGCGGUAAUACGGGGGGUGCAAGCGUUAAUCGGAUUUACUGGGCGUAAAGCGCGCGUAGGUGGUUUAGCAAGUUGGAUGUGAAAGCCCCGGGCUCAACCUGGGAAUUGCAUCCAAAACUGCUAAGACUAGAGAGUAGAGAGGGAAGUGGAAUUCCGGGUGUAGCGGUUAAAUGCGUAGAUAUCCGGAGGAACACCAGUGGCGAAGGCGGCUUCCUGGACUAACACUGACGCUGAGGUGCGAAAGCGGGGGGAGCAAACAGGAUUAGAUACCCUGGUAGUCCACGCCGUAAACGAUGUCAACUAGCCGUUGGGAGGAUUGCCCGCUUAGUGGUGCAGCUAACGCAAUAAGUUGACCGCCUGGGGAGUACGGCCGCAAGGCUAAAUCUCAAAUGAAUUGACGGGGGCCCGCACAAGCGGUGGAGCAUGUGGUUUAAUUCGAUGCAACGCGAAGAACCUUACCUACCCUUGACAUCCAGAGAAUCUGUUAGAGAUAGUAGAGUGCCUUCGGGAAUUCUGUGACAGGUGCUGCAUGGCUGUCGUCAGCUCGUGUCGUGAGAUGUUGGGUUAAGUCCCGUAACGAGCGCAACCCUUAUCCUUAGUUGCCAGCACAUAAUGGUGGGAACUCUAGGGAGACUGCCGGUGAUAAACCGGAGGAAGGUGGGGACGACGUCAAGUCAUCAUGGCCCUUAUGGGUAGGGCUACACACGUGCUGCAAUGGCUGGUACAGAGGGUCGCUAACUUGCGAGAGUACGCUAAUCCCUUAAAGCCGGUCCUAGUCCGGAUUGGAGUCUGCAACUCGACUCCAUGAAGCUGGAAUCGCUAGUAAUCGCGGAUCAGAAUGCCGCGGUGAAUUCGUUCCCGGGCCUUGUACACACCGCCCGUCACACCAUGGGAGUGGGUUGCAAAAGAAGUGGGUAGGCUAACCUUCGGGAGGCCGCUCACCACUUUGUGAUUCAUGACUGGGGUGAAGUCGUAACAAGGUAGCCGGC
RNAcentral lists this ribosomal RNA (1482 nucleotides) under uncultured prokaryote. RNAcentral's name for it is "partial 16S ribosomal RNA". It matches the Rfam family "Bacterial small subunit ribosomal RNA". The record is from RNAcentral.